AUAAAACCAAAUUGUAGCCUGACCACCUCAGGCACAUGUUGUCAGGAUCCCCUGGGGCUGUGUCAUGGGCCAGGGUCACUCGUAUUUGGCUCAGAAUGAAUAUUUGACUGAACAGUCAAAUAUUUUACAGAGUUUUUUUGUUGACAAUAAUAAACUUGACACAAGAGCUUUCACAAAUACAGACCCAAAGAAUCAGGACAACUGUAUAUUUUUAUGCUAAGUCUGAUGAAGUGGACAGUAGUGCAGAAGUAUAAUUAGACAAACAACAUAAGAUCUAAUUGUAAUAAACUAGGAGGAACUUAGCGAGGCCUGUGUGUUCAGAUUCUUUCCUGUGUCUCAGUGUCUUCAGAGAUAACAAGGUUCCUUUUCUCCAGGUAUAGGGAGAGUACCUCUGGAAUGACCUACUUUAGAGGAAGAUCAGAGAAGUCUUCUAUGGUUACACCAAGGGAGAGAGGAUGGGGAGUCAGAGAAACUUUGCUGCUUCUGCUCUUUUCUCAAAUGCCAAGUCCAAGCACUGCUAGAACAGAUUGUCUCCUAUGGUGUAAACCCAAUCGACAUUUGAUUCACCAGCUGGCAGCCACCCAACCCUAUCUGGACAAGCAGGUCUCACUAAAUGAAGGACUUCAAUUUUUUUUUUUUUUUACAGUGUUUAUCAGCUGUUUUCAAGCUGUUGAAAUAAACUUGGCAAUACCAUUCAAAGUAAUCUCUCCCUCCUCUUCCCCACCACCAUUGUCCUUUGAAACACAGCUUCCAUUCUGUGUUGAGAUUUAUUUAUCUUCCAGCCCUGAUGCCUAUGAGGCCUAUGGAAGUUAUCAAUCAAACCAAAUUUAUGAAGUUCUUUUGUGGAAGCACUGCAAGCCACUGGACAAAAAUCAAUGGAGAAAUAAAUAAUGGGGAAACAAAUGUUUAAGCUCAAUUAAAUUAAGCAGUUUAUAGUUUCACCUCAAAGUGUAAGCAUAGUUAGAGAAACGGCUUAGUAGGAAUGCAGCCAGUCUACUGACUUGUUUUCAAGUUGCCUGCUCUGAGAAUCUAGUUUCAGUGUGUCAGAACUAACAACAGCAAUAGCUAGUUUAACGGACGAGAGAAAUUAGAUUAAAAAAAGAAAAGAACUUCUGCCUCCACGUUCACAUUCUGGGAGAAAUGAAGAAUUGACUUAAGGAUUGACUAUUUUGUUGAGUAAAAGUCAUUAGGGGUUUUUAGAUGUAUACAGAUACACCAGGAGCUUAAUCUCAAUUAAGACCAAAUUGUUUUGUACAAUAAAGAAACCAAAUUUGCUCUGAGGCAGCUGGGGAAACAUUAAAAGGGUAAUGGUUGAAAAGAAGCCUAGGAAAAUGGGAGCAAAAAAGUCCAUGGAAAAAGGUAACAGAGACAAAUCCCUGCUACCAGUGAGACCCGGGAAUUUUUAAGAAAAGUGAUGUCAUGUAUUGAAAUUCUGCUGUAUUGCUGGGUUCCCCGUAUGUUACUCCCAUCAUGUGUACAUGUCUGUUAGACACAGCAGUAUUAAGGGAAAGAUGGUCUGAGGAGUGAGAGGAGUGUCCUGUGUGAAGCUUUCUAGAAAUUACAGCAAGGACACCAAUUGUCAGGAGACAACAGAGCAGCAAGCUGUGGCAUGGGCAAGCUCAGGAAUGGACAUAACUCAAACCCUACCUUCCCCAAAUCUACCAGAGUCUAGAUCCAACCCUUAAAUGAGCAGGGAUUUCCAGGUGGCAGCUCUGUGGGUUCCAACACUCUGUGUGAAGCAACUACUCUGUGUCAUGUAGUUUAUAUCAUCACUUCAAGGUAAGUAUUAUUAUGGUUCUCUAUGUGGGGAUGAGAAAACAGAGCCAUGAAGAGAGAAUUAAGUAACUAAUCCAAGGUCACUUGGCAAUUAACUGACAGAAGGAGCAGAGAAUCAGAGCCCAGGAAGGUCUGACUCUCAUCUUGCAUCCAUUCACCAGGCCUCUCUCCCUCUCCCUAACACCCAUGAAUGUUCAGGGAUUCCUCUACGCCUGACUUAGUGCCAUUUGGAACUUACUGUCUAAUGGCAGAGCCACCACAUGCAGAGUAUAAAGUCAUCAUUCCACCUUGCUUUAGCAAAUGAAAAUGUCCCUAUGUGUCACCAGCAUCCAGUGACCAGUCUGUAAAUCUAUGAGGAUAGGGUCGUGUCCCUUUUCUAUCCCUGUCUCCGCAUCAGCUAUUUUCCCCAUGACAAAAGCUGUGCUCCAAAUUACUUAUUGAAUAAAAGACUAGCACAUAAAGGAAAAGUUUAAUCUCAUCAUUUUAAACUGAAUAUCCAUGCCUAAUCUUCUUUCCUUGAUCAGCUCUAGAAGAGGAAUUUCACAUUAAAUGUAACUGAUAAAGUUCACUUUAAAAUAGGCUUUUCUUGACUUAAAAUAU
This 2376-nucleotide long non-coding RNA is filed under the name Macaca mulatta (Rhesus monkey). Its description in RNAcentral is "lncRNA (ENSMMUG00000055766.1)". The record is from RNAcentral. Lineage: Eukaryota; Metazoa; Chordata; Mammalia; Primates; Cercopithecidae.